GACGAACGCUGGCGGCGUGCUUAACACAUGCAAGUCGAACGGAAAGGCCCUGCUUUUGUGGGGUGCUCGAGUGGCGAACGGGUGAGUAACACGUGAGUAACCUGCCCUUGACUUUGGGAUAACUUCAGGAAACUGGGGCUAAUACCGGAUAGGAGCUCCUGCUGCAUGGUGGGGGUUGGAAAGUUUCGGCGGUUGGGGAUGGACUGGCGGCUUAUCAGCUUGUUGGUGGGGUAGUGGCUUACCAAGGCUUUGACGGGUAGCCGGCCUGAGAGGGUGACCGGCCACAUUGGGACUGAGAUACGGCCCAGACUCCUACGGGAGGCAGCAGUGGGGAAUAUUGCACAAUGGGCGGAAGCCUGAUGCAGCAACGCCGCGUGCGGGAUGACGGCCUUCGGGUUGUAAACCGCUUUCGCCUGUGACGAAGCGUGAGUGACGGUAAUGGAUAAAGAAGCACCGGCUAACUACGUG
RNAcentral lists this ribosomal RNA (468 nucleotides) under uncultured bacterium. RNAcentral's name for it is "partial 16S ribosomal RNA". It matches the Rfam family "Bacterial small subunit ribosomal RNA", at positions 28 to 507 of the family's 1533-position model. The record is from RNAcentral.